GAUGAAGAACGUAGCGAAAUGCGAUAAGUAGUGUGAAUUGCAGAAUUCAGUGAAUCAUCGAAUCUUUGAACGCACAUUGCGCCCUUUGGUAUUCCAAAGGGCAUGCCUGUUCGAGCGUCAUUUGUACCCUCAAGCUUUGCUUGGUGUUGGGCGUCUUGUCUCUAGCUUUGCUGGAGACUCGCCUUAAAGUAAUUGGCAGCCGGCCUACUGGUUUCGGAGCGCAGCACAAGUCGCACUCUCUAUCAGCACAGGUCUAGCAUCCAUUAAGCCUUUUUUUCAACUUUUGACCUCGGAUCAGGUAGGGAUACCCGCUGAACUUAAGCAUAUCAAUAAGCGGAGGA
Molecule: unclassified non-coding RNA, 341 nt
Filed under: soil metagenome
Description: partial contains 5.8S ribosomal RNA, internal transcribed spacer 2, and large subunit ribosomal RNA
Rfam family: 5.8S ribosomal RNA (bases 1-120)
Source: RNAcentral